This 2810-nucleotide long non-coding RNA is filed under the name Triticum aestivum (bread wheat). RNAcentral describes it as "long non-coding RNA (TAES_LNC004850)". The record is from RNAcentral. Lineage: Eukaryota; Viridiplantae; Streptophyta; Magnoliopsida; Poales; Poaceae.
UUUUUUUCUAUUUGAUUUUUUUGUUUUUUCUUCUAGUUGUAUUUAUUCUUUAAAAGAGGUUCGAAGGUAUUGCAGAAUUGUCCAUCGCACAUUAGAACCAGUCUUGAUUGUGUAUUAAAAAAAAGUUCAAAAACAUGUCCACCACACAUUCAGAAAGAAAAUGUUCGUCUUAUAUAUGAAAAUUGUUCAUCGCGUAUUUAGAAAAUGUUGGCAUGUAAAAAUAUUCACUGAUUUAAAAAUUGACCAUGUGUAUUUAAAAGAUGUUCAUCGUGUAUUGGGAAAAUAUUCAUCGUGUAUGUGAAAAUUUCAUCACAUACUGAAACACAAAUGUUCAUCAGGUAUGUGGAAAAUGUUUAUGACAUAUAUAAAAAAAGUGUUCAUCGUGUAUUUCAAAUAUGAUCAUCAAAUAUUUAAAAAAAUAUUCACCACAUAUACAAAAGUAUUUUAGAGAAAAAUGAUCAUCGUUUGGUUAGUGACAUCGCCCGUAUAUCUAAUCCCCAAGGGGAACAGGGGAAGUAUCCGGUGCACCUGUUCUCAAGAACUCUCAUUUCUGAGGUUGAAUAUUCUUGAAGUUUUGUGGAGAUGGAAGUUUAAAGUUGCAUUCCAAAAGUUUAAAAUUUAUGUUGAAACAAAUAUACAACCACAAGCACGUAUUUUGGUGAUGAGAGCUAGGCCAUGGAUUCAGACCAUUUCGUUCUCCAAGCAAAUGUUUUCUCAUUAUUAUUUGUACAGCUAUGUUUCAAAUUUGGAUAGAAAAUUAGAAGUGUUAUUGUUCGUACUACAACAUAAUUAUUUGCAGAACUUUUCGUAAAUUGUAAACUUACAAUUUUAACUCAGGUGGUACAAAAUAACAAGGUGCAACACUUAUUUGUUCCAUCUAGCAGUGCAUAGACAGAAUGGGUGAGGCGAUGUAACGUGUGUGAACAGAUGGCACUAUGGCUCGUCUAUAGGGUGACUGACGAGCCAGAUAACGAGCUUCAUGGUGCUCGGCCUCCAAACGGCAUUUCCCAAACAAAAGUAGACAAAAAGAGUAAAAAAGGAAAACAGAGGACAGAAAGAAAAAAAAAACAGAAAAAGGAGGCUGGAGCUUCCCGCACGGAUGAGCAGCAGCCCAUGUUCGCUCCUGUCUCACUGAACGCAAGGAAUAGGGGCGCCCAGCACGGCGGGCUUCACUCCAAGGUAGAAGCACAAUAAAAUCCCUGUGUGCACACGAGAUGUCCCAGACUCGUGGGCGUGGUAUCCUGAUAAGAAGGGCAUUUUCUCGGUCAGCUCAGUGUAUAAAAUGAUGAUUAGCACAAAGAUAGAAAGAGAAGGCUGGUUGGAAGGGCGUGGCGGUCCCUCAGAGACAUCAACAGAGGAGAAGGCCUGGAGUUCGCUGUGGCAACUGCAAGUCCCUUCAAAAAUUUGUGUGUUAAUUUGGAGACUUGCAAGGCAUUCUUUACCAACUACAGAUGUUCUUCAUAAAAGAAAUAUGGUUGUCCAAGAUGCCUGUCCUUUAUGCGGAGGAGAAGACUCAUGGCGUCAUGCACUAGUGUCUUGCACAAUGGCUAGAUGUACAUGGGCACUAUCAGAGGAAGUUAUUGUCGUAUGAGCGAGAAUGUCGUGCCAAGUGCUAAGCAUUGGCUGUUUGAUCUCUAUGAAACCUUGAACUAUGCUAGUUUCACGAGAAUGGCAGUAACCCUUUGGGCCAUUUGGUACGAGAGGCGGAAGGAGAUCCAUGAAAACAUGUUCCACAGCCCGUGAACUCUUAUCUUCAGGAGCUACAAACAGUUCCGAAACUGUUGGAACAGCCGCGCAUAAUCGUUGCAUAAUGCUGACGGGGCUGUUUCGAGUAAUGCCAGUAUGGGUGUGGCUGCUGCGAUAUGCCGAGACCACACUGGAGAAUAUCUAGGCGCGUCGGCUGUCGUCUUUCGUGGCAUCUCUGAUCCAACAAUUCUUGAGGUAUUAGCAUGUCGAGAAGCAAUGGCAUUGGCAGAAGACCUGAACAUUCAGAGAGUGCGCAUUGCAAAUGAUUGUCAAGGAGUGGUAAAGGACAUCAACACAGGAAGCAGAGGGCCACAUGCAGCGAUUCUACACGAAAUAACAGAACAGAGGAGUCUUUUCCUUUCCUGUAAUUUUGUUUUCAAACGUAGGAAUUUUAAUUUCAAGGCUUGCUAGCGUCAUGUCUGGUUGGGCAUGCCUCACGACCUGAACAUUGUACCCAAGGCGAGAAUUCUCAAAAAAAAAAAAGGUAGAAGCACAAUAAGAUGGUACUGAUUAUGUGGACAAGACUGGUAAGUCCGUCCAAACAGUUGUCCAUGUACCAGUAGAAGAUUCCGCAGCUACUGCAGCCCCUGCUUCUUCAGGCGGAACCUCACCCUGAAAACUUCUGCCAAGAUAUCAGUAUCCUUUGGGGUGUAGUAAGUCAAUUUCUAAUCUUUAACUUUGAGGCCAACGUCUAGAAGGCCCGUUAACAGAUUGGUUUAUAGGAACAAUGCAAAGUUGCCCAGAUGAAGCCACACCAAAAAUAAUCGCAGGCAGAGUGACCUUGGUAAUAUCUUUUCCAUCAGUAUCAAUAUUGGUUGCAAAAUAAAUAAAUGGGAUAACAAUCUUUAACCCUACAACAAUCAAAUCGGAAGUAGCACAUAAUAAUGAUACACAAUCUAGUCGCCUAAACCGCCACCCACACCUUGUAAGGCCUGCGCCCCCUUCAAAAACGGAUCCAUUACACAUAUAAGAGAAGAACAGGUACGGUAGCUUUGUUAAAUAAGACCGUCUUUCCCGCAAAGCCCCUACGGACACAACUAUCUUGGCAGAGAGAGAUGCUCUAG